Molecule: long non-coding RNA, 6592 nt
Organism: Aedes albopictus (Asian tiger mosquito)
Lineage: Eukaryota; Metazoa; Arthropoda; Insecta; Diptera; Culicidae
Exons: 3
Source: RefSeq, a predicted model, not a curated record
CCCGUAUAAAAAUGAACCAUUGAAUCUAUGGGAAAAACAGUACAAAAACAAAAGAUUUUUAUGUUAACCAUGUUUUCUAUUGUUUUUGUAUUGUGAACUGAAUUUAAAAAAUGCAAUUCGGUGUAUCAAUAACAAUAGGUCAACAUUAAAUUUCAUUGUUACAGUAUUUUCUAUAGGCAAACAAUAGAGAAACAUUUGAUUCUAUUGUUACAAUAGAUUAACAUUAGAUUAUUUUGUUAUUAUUAGAUAUCCCUAUGUUCUUUUCCAAUAUUACAAUUUUCCAUAAUUUUGACACCGCUUAGUUUCAGUGUUGAGCACGAGCAGCAAUAAUAUCAAAUGCGAUUUAUGUAGCUAAAUAUUAUGAAUUUGAUUGAAACAAAAAAAAACUUCGAGUCAAGUUUCGAGUGCAUUUUGAGUAUAAGCCUCUAUUAAAUGUUAGGCGAGUUUUGCUCGCGUAAACAAAACAUGCAAAACAUUCACCGUCGCAUCAUCGCAAGUUUGGAAAACCGGGUUCCACCUGUCGGUAUUCCUAACGAUAUUCCUGACUCCUGCAGGGAAAAGCAGCCCUACACCGGAAAAUCGGAAUCUUGUAGGUUGAAAAAAAAACUGCCGGAAUCAACAAAGGGAAGAUUCAGCCAGGAAAAUACCGCUGUGUGGAUGCGGAGAAAAUGACUAUGUACCAGAAAAAUGCGCCUGCAUCGGGUGGUUAACCUCCGGUGUUACCUUUCGGCCGCAAGAAGGAAGAUGAUGAUGGGUGAAGAACUUCGUCGGGGAAUUACGUCAACGCCAAGGACGAGGAGGGAGAAAUGGAAGCCAACAUCCCAACCUUCCACCUACAAGCCGAACAAGGACAGUGUCCUAUAGAUCUGCAUCCGAUGUUCCCGAUGCACCAGCUCUCGCUGCAAAGACAAUUCCGGGGCAGUCACCGGGAAAGCUCAUUGAUGAAGUUCCGGCCACGCUAACCUGAGGAGGCAAUUUUAAUAAACUGGACCUAAAGAGGCUCAACGCGAGGUCGUGCUGGUGAUGGACGAAAAAAUGUGAGUCCGCUGGCGGAUUGUAGAAAUGUGUAAUGCUUUAACGGAUUUAUUAUUUACAGAGCACAAAGAGUAACGAUGUAUACGCCGGACAAGAUUUCAAAUCCACUGUCGAUUUGCAAUUUGAAGAGAAGUUUAUUCAGAAGCUACACACACACAGCCAGGAGCGAAUCAUCGAGAAAGAGCCGAUGCACACGGGCGGGCGCGUCCACGCAGUGUGCACGCAAGUGCGUCCUGAGCUACACAUAAUCAAAUGGGAGGAUGCACAUGAGAACGCAACGCUACCGCACCGUGUGCAGCACGCAAUGCAAACGCAUACCCCACAGGACAACACCCGCAGGACCCCACAGUUGCGGCGACGCUGUGUGAAUUAAAGCUUGUGUGUAUCACGUCAAAGCCAGGCACUUAGGGGGCAUCCAUUUAGUACGUCACGCUAAACAUGGGAAUUUUCAACCACCCUCCCCCCUUCGUACGGGUUUUUCCUAUACUUAAUACAUUGCUUGUUACACUUUUCAGAACCCCCCCCCCCUUCUUAGCGUGACGUACUUUACUUAAGCCAAACUUCAAUAAGAAGCGCAGUAACGAGAACAUGAUGAAGAAAUCCGUUCCGAACGUGAGAUAUGACGAAGGCUAAGGUUAAGAUUUUUCGUUCGUACCUUAUUUGAUUUUUACUAAUAUGUAAUGUUAUAGGCCCCUAUAUCCACAGCUGUAAACGCGUGAAUAUUCAGCAUGCAUGCUGAAGGUGACGGGUUCGAUUCCCGUUCAGUCCAGGAACUUUUCGUAAAUGAAAUUUUCUUGACUUCUUUAGGCAUCUUGUUAGGCAUACAGUAUCUUAUAGCCUGUCACACGUUCAAUAUGUAUAAUAGAGUUAAUAAACUAUAGAGGACGAAUGUCGCUGCUGUUCCCUUUGUUCUCGCUCGCAAACAUGUCGGGGUAUCUAUCUGUCAAACUGCAUACUUUUUCGCUUUGACACUUAUAGCCCGGCCUAUCUCCGCCAGCAAGAGAUGUUUCGGCAGCGACGCCACACAGUGGGAUCAUUCUGAAAAAAGACGAUCAAAACCUCUAAGAGCCGUUAGAUGACAUUUUAGCAUAUAGGUGUCUUUGGCAGAUAUGUUCAGAAAAAUCUUCUCUAUUUUUAUGCAUAUUCACUGUAUGGUAAAACUGUAGGGUGAACCCGAGCAAAAAAAUAUUUUUUCAAAAUAUUUUUUUAGAGGGUAGAUGUCUUCAGCAAAGUUGUAGAACAAGUAAUUUCAAGUAACUUUGCUGAAGACACCAUAUAGCUUGGACUUCAUUUUUAUGGAGAAAAUAUGAAAGUUUAAAAAACAACCUCAAAAUCAGUUUUUUGAACUUUUCCAUGAUUAUAUCGUAAAACUUCAACGUGAUAUGUACUACAAGUUUGUAGAUACUACUGGAAUACACUAUCUUGCCGAAGACACCAACUCUGUAAAAUUGAAAAUUGCUCCAGUAAACCAUUUUUUUUGAAUUUUUUUCACUAUUUUCACUAUUGAAUAUUUUUUGAAUAGGCACUUUUUGGCAGCCGUGCUAUCAAAAUUGCAAUACUUCAUCAUGUCCAGAAUAGACCAAAAGUGACUUAACAAUCGGGUCUGAUAAGGCACUUUGAUUUAUGAUGCUAUUUUAAUAGUCAUUUUUCAAAGAAAAUGUUCACAAAUUUCAUACAAAUCAUUUAAUGCAAACUGAAAACUCACGAAAACUUUUCGACAUUAAUAAUUGUUAAUCAAAAUAGUAUUCUUGUUGAAAUAGUCUACAUUUCUAACACUGUGGUUGACUUUUCAUUUGCUAUGUUAACAUUAUAACUUUGGUUAAAAAACUAAAAAGGCGAAAAUAUAAUUAUUGCCUCUCCAAGUUUUGUGUUGAAAAUAAAAAAAUAGAAUAAAACGAGUGAAACAUUGUUACAUCACAUUGAAUAGCCAGUAUCUGUUAGAGAUAGUCUAGGUUGUAAAUCUUACGUUAUGGUGAAAAUUCUUCACAGAUAUUUUAUUGAAAUUGGUUAUCGAUUCCUGUCCAUGAUUUUCAAAAUUCCUUCGUCGUAGACAUAUUACCUUGGUUCAUCUCUUGACAAAUCGGCAUCAAGAUCACGGCUCUGUUAUGGAUACUUUUUUGGAGGAGCCUUUAGUUUUAAGUUUAUAUUAUAACGAUUUUUUGAAAAGAUAAAAAGGUUUUGUGCCUUUUUGAGAAAGAUUUCGUAGAUGAGGAAAUCACUCAAAGAAAGAGGCUUUUGCCUCUUUCAAAAUUUGUAGUUCAAAAUAAAUGACACUAACAGUUGAAAUAGUCUACAUUUAUUUAACUUGUUUUUUUUAUUCAGAAGUACUACUUGUAUGAGCUAAAAAUAAUAUCGAAAGGUUGUAUGAGAUUUGUGAAUAUUUUCUUUGAAAAUUACUAUUAAAAUAGCUUCAGAUAUCAAAGUGCCUCAUCCGACCCGAUUGUUAAGUCAAUUUUGGUCUAUUCUGGACAUAAUGAACCACGGCUGCCAAAAAGUGCCUAUUCAAAAAAGAUUCAAUGGUGAAAAUAGUGAAAAAAUUUCAAAAAAUUUAGAAAACGAUAUUUUUUGUCGGGUAUUCAAUGUAAAGUCAACCACAGUGUUAGAAAUGUAGACUAUUUCAACAAGAAUACUAUUUUGAUUAACAAUUAUAAAUGUCGAAAAGUUUUCGUGAGUUUUCAGUUUGCAUUAAAUGAUUUGUAUGAAAUUUGUGAAUAUUUUCUUUGAAAAAUGACUAUUAAAAUAGCAUCAUAAAUCAAAGUGCCUUAUCAGACCCGAUUGUUAAGUCACUUUUGGUCUAUUCUGGACAUGAUGAAGUAUUGCAAUUUUGAUAGCACGGCUGCCAAAAAGUGCCUAUUCAAAAAAUAUUCAAUAGUGAAAAUAGUGAAAAAAAUUCAAAAAAAAUGGUUUACUGGAGCAAUUUUCAAUUUUACAGAGUUGGUGUCUUCGGCAAGAUAGUGUAUUCUAGUAGUAUCUACAAACUUGUAGUACAUAUCACGUUGAAGUUUUACGAUAUAAUCAUGGAAAAGUUCAAAAAACUGAUUUUGAGGUAGUUUUUUAAACUUUCAUAUUUUCUCCCUAAAAAUGAAGUCCAAGCUAUAUGGUGUCUUCAGCAAAGUUACUUGAAAUUACUUGUUCUACAACUUUGCUGAAGACAUCUACCCUCUAAAAAAAUAUUUUGAAAAAAUAUUUUUUUUCUCGGGUUUACCCUACAGUUUUACCAUACAGUGAAUAUGCAUAGAAAUAGAAAAGAUUUUUCUGAACAUAUCUGCCAAAGACACCUAUAUGCUAAAAUGUCAUCUAACGGCUCUUAGAGGUUUUGAUCGUCUUUUUUCAGAAUGAUCCCACUGUGCGCCAGCGACAUUCUUCCUCUAGUUUAUUACCUCUAUUAUAUGUAUACACAUGCAGAAUGAUCAUUGCCAGAGGAAGCUAUCAGUUAACAGCUGUGGAAGUGUUCAUAUAACCACAAAGCUCAGAAGUAGGCUUUGUUCCCGUGAGAACGUUACUCCAAGAAAAAGAAGAAGAAAUAUGUUAUGUUUGAUUAAUACUCGGAUUAAUAAUUAUAUUUUCUUUCAUUCUGGAGCACGGAAUAGAAACAUAUUCUGCAUUUGGACACUUUAAAUGGUCUUCCAACAUAGGUUUGCUCUUUCAGCCUGGAACGCAUGUGUUUGAGUUAAAUUAUUCUAUUGAAUUUCUUUAAUUGUUAUAGUAAUGGUUAAGCACGCUUUAAUGUUACUUUCGUACCUCAUCGCCCACCCGAUGCAAUUACAGAAGCUUGUGUAGACGAAAAUCAAUUAACUUAGGGAAGGGAGUUUCAAAAUGACACACGAAUGUUUCAUAGUGUAAAACUCAUCUUUUACAUUGUGCUUGAACGCUUCGAACGAUCUUCUCAUAUGGGUUCAAGAUGUAGUAUAUCGAGUAUUUUUAAGUGCUAUAAUAAUGGCUAAGCACGCUGUAAUGUUACUUUUGUACCUCAUCACCCAAUAAAUGCAACUACAUUAGUGGUCUAAUAACACUUAGCGCGCUUAGGCACGGUUCCAUCAUGCCGCUUAUAGUGUUGCCACAUAUAAUGCUUAGUCUGCUAAACCCAGUUAUCUGGCUGUGGGGCAUGGGAGCCAAAGCUUCAACCAUUAAUGCAACUUGACAUUACUCGAUUUACAACAUGAAUGAUCCAAAUAUUUGAUAACUGUUCGGUCUGUGUCCUUAAAAUGUUGCUUAAAAUAUACAAGCUUCUAAUCCAAAUGCAUAGUUAUUAGCGUGGUUCAAAAAAUCGUUUUUGCUCCACACCGCUUAUUCGAUUCACAAUCAGAUUCUAAGCAUUCUCCCAAAAAAUGAGCUGAUUUGGUUGAAAAUGGAGAGUGCACAAGCUCUUCAAAGUUUGUAUGGAAAUUACUAUGGGAAAAGGACGUUUUUCAUUCAAUUGACCGUAGCAUUUUCCCAAGUGCCCUAGAGUGUUAGUUGAACCUUGGUUCUCUUAGGUUACUCUAUCAGCUACAACUUUGCCGAAGACCACAUUGAAAUCGGACGUCUCAUUAAUUAGUUAUCGAUUUUUAUCCAACUGCAGAAACUUUAACAGUGAUCGUUCAGCUUCACAGCUGGCAACCUUGCUGCACAUGGCGCCAAAGAUAGCACACACAAAUCAUGGCUACUAUGUUUCAUGGCAAAUGGCAGUGAUGCCCAUCGAAUAGUGUAAUCAUCAUGGUCAAAGAUUUUCAUUCUGGAUGAAAAUCGAUAACAAAUUAAUGAGGCGUCCGAUUUGAAUGUGGUCUUCGGUAAAGUUGUAGCUGAGAAAGUGACGUAGGAGUGCCAAGGGUCAACUAACACUCUAGGGCACUUGGAGAAAUGCUACGGUCAAUUGAAUGAAAAACUUCCUUUUCCCAUAGUAAUUUCCAUACAUACCUUGAAGAGCUUGUGCACUCUCAAUUUUCCACCAAAUCAGCUCAUUUUUUGGGAGAAUGCUUAGAAUCUGGUUACGAAUCGAAUAAGCGGUGUGGAGCAAAAACGAUUUUUUGCACCACGCUAAUAGUUAUAGUUCAGUUCGCUUUGUUUAAGAGUUUUUCAUGCAGUCAAGAACAAAAGCAGAAAGCACAAAUUGAUCUAACCCUGCCAAAAUGUUCAUAUUCUUUUGUACCUAAAAUUAAACUAUUCAAAAACAUCAGAAUUUUUUGUUUCACCAUAGAAAACAAUUGAAUCUAAUGUGCGACCUAUAAUAACAUCAGUGCUCGAAGCGAUACGUUUACCGUGGAUUUCACUGUUUGAAACAAUUCGAAAACAUAAGAAUCUUCUGUAUCACAAUAGAAAACUGAACCGAAACCACUGAAUUCAAUGUAAAAGCAAUACAAACUAGCAUGUACUGUUUCACAAUAGAAAACAAUUCCAAAACAAUUGAAUCAAAUGUAUAACCAGUAAUAAAAUCACUGCUGAAAACAAUACAUUUACCGUACAUUUCACUGUUUAAUACAAUAUGAAAACAUAAGAAUCUUCUGUAUCACAAUAGAAAACAAUUCCCAAACCAUUGAACCAAACGUGGAACCAGUAAUAAAAUCACUGCUCAAAACAA